Long non-coding RNA from Tachysurus vachellii, 6902 nucleotides. RefSeq lists it as uncharacterized. The transcript is spliced from 4 exons. NCBI's taxonomy places the organism in Eukaryota, Metazoa, Chordata, Actinopteri, Siluriformes, Bagridae. The record is from RefSeq and is a predicted model, not a curated record.
UGUAUAAUUCAACAUUAUUAUCAUAAUGUUCAACAUUUGCAUUAGAACGAAGGUGAUCUUUUUUUGUAUAUCCUGAAAGUGUACUUUCACAGAUAAUGCAGCAAAUGGAGCAAAAGCAAUGGAGCCUGAAAUGCAGCCUGUUAAUGAUUGAAAAUGGCUUGGAGCAAAAUAAUCCGGAUUCUCUUUUUAUUAUCCUUGGAGACUUUAACAGAGCAAAACUUACACUUGAACUUCCAAAAUACAGACAGCAUAUAAAUUGUCCCACAAGGGAGAAAAAUAAACUGGAUCAUUGCUACACAAUUCUUAAGGACGCAUAUAGCUCUUUACCCAGGGCAGCCUUGGGGAGCUUUGAUCACUGCUUGGUUCAUCUUAUUCCAACAUUCAUGCAGAAACUAAAAUCUAGUGAAGAGAUAGACCAGUGAGGCAAAUCAGGAACUACAAGAUUGUUUUGACUGCACUGACUGGAGUAUCUUUGAGGCUGGAACUGACAGCCUGGAUGAACUGACUGACACUGUGACAUCGUACAUCAGUUUUUGCAAAGACAUGAGUGUGCCAACCAAAACCUUCUGCAAAUACAGUAACAACAAGCCAUGGUUCACAGCCAAACUGAAAAAACUUUGACAUGCCAAGGAAGAUGCCUACAGAGGGGAGGACAAAACUCUGUAUAAGCUGGCCAGGAACCUACUGACAAAGGAAAAGCUGAAAAGCAGGUUUUCAGAUAACAACCCUGCAUCAGUGUGGAAAGGCCUGCAAGACAUCACAAACUACAAGAGUCACCAGCACCCCCCACUGAAGCAAAAAAAGACCUGGCUGAUGACCUCAACACCUUCCACUGCAGAUACUUCCACAUCUCCACAGGAAUGCCAUCUGGACCAACAGCCUUUCCACUUUUGAUCCACCUCAGAGCCUUCCUCACCUCAUCUUUUCUAAUCUUUCCUAUUUUCUGCUCUACAAUAUUCACCUCUCCCUCCUCUCCUUCUAGAUUUCUUUCCUUAAUACCAAGCCUGCCCAUCAACUCCUCAUCGCCUCUUUUUACCCUCGCCAACAUGCCCAUUAAACUACUUAAAUCACGACUCUCUCCCAUCUCCAACUCUCUAUAACCUCAUCUAAUUCAUUUCAGAAUCAGCCUACAUGUGGAGCAUAACCACUGACGACAUUCAGCAUUACCCCUUCAAUUUCUAACUUCAAACUGACUACCCUGUCUGACACUUCACCUCUAAAACAUUCCUCACAAACUCAACCUUCAAGAUUACCCCUAGCCCAUUUUUUUUCCUAUCCACACCAUAAUAAAACAGUUUGGAUACCCCUCCAAUACUAUGUAUUUUGCUCCCCUUCCACCUGUUCUCAAACACACAGCAUAUCUAUCUUUCUUCUCUCCAUCAUGACUGCCAGCUCUCUACCUUUCCCUGUCAUUGUGCCAAGGUUAAGUAUCCAUAUUCUCAGACCUAUACACCUGCCUUUCCUUUUCCCUUUUUAUCUAUGAAGCCUCCUUUCUCUCCUUCCUCAACCAACAGUAGUCCAAUUUCCACCAGCAGCCUGUAGGUCAUCUCUUUUCAUUUCCUCUAGUUGUGGGAACUCUGCAACAGCACAUAGAAAAACUCAGCUGGACACCUUGCCAGUUCAGUAUACAAAGGACCUAACUCAUUCUAAACAGGACCAAAUGGCUCUGGAAAUGCUGGAAGAGAAAACAUUUUCUGGUCUGGUGGAUGAAGUAAAAUGGUAUGCAACUCCCCUUAUCCAUCAUAAAGAUGCUGUAUAUCUCCAGUCUCCCUGGGGUAUAUACCUAGAUUCAGUGGAUUGGUUAGCCUCAUCAACAGUGAUUUUGAUAUGAAAAAUUAAAUCCACUCUGACCUUUCCAUUGUGAUGUUAAAUAUGAUGAGGUAUAUGCAUAUUGAGCAGGUUGUUAUUCAGACAUGCUUACUGAUAUGAACAAUUAAAACCACUCUGGCCUUUCCAUACCGCAUCAUAUUUAACAUCACAAUUCAAAGGCCAGAGUGGUUUUAAUUGUUCAUAUCAAUAUCAGCAUGCAUGUCUGAAUAAUAACUUGCUGCCAAGACCAACUCAGAGAAAAUGCUAUUAUUGGAGACAUCAAAGUUAUGUUUCCUCAGGUGAGACUUCUCCCUGAAGAUCAACCACUGUGUUGUUUCUUGUAGAGAAACAUGAAAAGAGAGCGUAGCCCAGACAUCUACAAAUGGAGAGUUUUGCCAUUUGGAAAAACUUGCAGCAUUAUAUCAGAGAAUAUUUAACUGGCAAUGAGGAUGUGAUAGAGGCUGUACAACAUUGUUUCUAUGUAGAUCAUCGUGUACAGUCAUUCCAUACUUUAAAUCAGACAAAAUAAUUCAUCAAUAAGCUUAGGGCUUUCCUUGUUGCUGGAGGGUUUGAGAUAUGGCAGUGGGUGAGCAACAUUCCUGAUGUUAUAGCUCACCUUCCCACUUAAGAAAGAUCACUUGGGUUAAAGUGGCAUUCUUGGUUACAAAUAUCAAGCCCUAUCAGAUAUGAAGCCCACCACAAGGAAUGUGUACAAAAUCCUGGCAAGCCAUGACCCUCUUGGGCUCCUCAUCCCAUAUACUACUUGAGCUAAAGUUCUUUUUUUUUUUUUUUGCAAAGUCUUUUUAUUGCAAACAAAGUCGAAUAACAAUACAGAAUCCCAUUUUAGUUUUACAUGAAAAAGGAGUAAAGUAAAAGUAUUACAACAAUAACAAUAAUAACAAUAAUGGAAAGAAAGUAAAAAGAAAAAGAAGAGAACAAACCACCCCCACCCGCCCACCUCGGGUCCUGGCCCUUUUUAAUUAUCGAAUACAAGUCAUUUAAAAUUUACAAAAGAAAAAGAAAACCAAAUCUGGCAAAACCUGAAGUCCUAUGAAAUAUGAAAUAAACGGUUGCCAUUUAUGAAAAAACUUGGAGGUAUUACCUCUUAUAGUAUAUUUUAUUUCUCAAGCUUAAUAAAAAACGCUGUAUCCUUUAGCCAUUGUGAGUGAGAUGGUGGGACAGAGGACUUCCACUGAAAAAGAAGGCGACGUCUGGCCAACAAUGAUGUAAAACUAAUAACUUCUUUUUGCAUACAGUUUAACUGAGAUGCUUCAUCUGGAAGUCCAAAUAUAGCAAUCAAUGGGCAGGGUUGCAAAUGUACUCCCAGAAUAGUGGACAUCGUACUGAAAUAACCUGACCAAUAAUUAUAUAGUCGUGGACAGAAAAAAAACAUGUGACUCAGUUGACAUUGUGAGUUAGAGCAUCUGUCACAUUUGUCCUCGACAUCUGGGUAAAUUUGAGACAAUCUAUAUUUAGAAAAAUGCACCCUAUAAAUGACCUUAAACUGGAUACGUGCGAGACGAGCACAUGCGACAUUACCAAAGCCUGUCCCCAAGCUGAAGGCCCAGUUCUCCCUCCCAAGCAGCCUUUGUUUUGGAGGUAGUUUGGUCACAGAAAUCCAUAAUAAGUUUAUAGAUCUCAGAAACAGCACCUUUUUGUUGUGAUUUAUACGUAAACAAACCUUCCCAGUGUUGAAGAGGUGGUGCUGAGGGAAAGCCAGGAAAACACUUUUGAACAAAAUGCCUAACUUGAAAAUAUCUAAAGAGGUGGCUGGCAGGUAGCCCAUACAAUGAAGACAAAUUAGCAAAACUGUUAAAAAAUCCCUCUGAGUAUAAGUCAAGAAAACAGUGUAUACCUUUGCUAUACCACACUGAGAAAAAAGAAUCCAGACACGAAGGGGGAAAAGAUGAUUGCUACAUAACGAACCUAAAGGAGAAUCAGUUACAAACUUGAAACGUUUCCUAAAUUGAUACCAGAUUUUUAGAGUAUUAAACACAACAGAAUUUUUAACAUACAAAGAAGUUUUAAUUGGAAGAGAAGAGUAUAUAAGAGAAGGUAUAGAGGAUGAGGAAGAACAUGACUGGGCUUCUAACUUACACCAUGCUAAAUGAGGUGACUCAACACAGCACCGUAUCUUAUGGAUGUGUGCUGCCCAGUAAUAAAACAGAAAAUUUGGUAGUGCCAGACCACCGCUAGACUUACAUCUCUGGAGUAAUGACUUACGCAAUCUGGGACAUCCCCCAGACCAAAUAAAAGCAUUAAUUGUUUUAUCUAAUGAGUCAAAGAAAUGUUUAGGUAAGAACAAUGGUAUUGAACAUUCAUUUUUAUUGCAUUAAUCUUCCCAAUCAGAGACAAAGGCAGACUAUUCCAUCUCUGAAGGUCAGACUUCAUUUUAGUUACGAUUGGAGUAAAGUUUGCAGAAAAAAGACCUGAGAAUUUACAUGUCACAUUAAUACCAAGGUAUCUAAAUCCAGCGGGACUGAUUUUGAAGGGCAUGUCCAGAUGCUUAAGUUGCAAAGCAGUUGUGUUAAUUGGAUAAUAUUCACUCUUCUGAAAUUUUAAUUUAUAUCCAGAAAAGGAGCUGAAUGUAUCAAGAGUGGACAAGAUACCAGGCAGACCAGAUACAGGGUCAGAUACAUGGAGCAACAAAUCAUCUGCAUACAAUGAUAGUCUGUGUUCGAUGCCGUUCCUAGUGGCGCCUUUAAAUAAAGUAGAAGAUUGUAAUGAAAUGGCCAAUGGUUCAAUGGCCAAGGCAAAUAAAGAUGGAGAGAGAGGGCAGCCCUCAUGUGUCCCACGUUUCAACGGAAAAUACUCUGAGCGCACAUUGUUUGAAUGCUGGCUUGAGGUGAUGUAUAAAGUAAUUUCACCCAACUAAAAAAUAAACGUCCCUUAAUAAAACCGUUUUGCUCCUCAGAAAUAAUGCUGGGCAACACUCUCUCUAGGCGCAGAGCUAUAGUUUUUGCCAGAACUUUUACAUCAGCAUUUAACAAAGAUAGAGGCCUAUAGGAACCACAUAAAGUUGGAUCUUUGUCACUCUUCAAAAGGAGAGAUAUGGAAGCUUGGGUCAUAGUAGUUGGGAGCAAACAAUUUCCAAGGAUUCAUUAAACACUGACAAAAGUAGAGGUGCUAAUUUAUUAACAUUAUUAAUAAAUAUUAAUAUUUCUUGAAGAACUCAACAGGAUACCCAUCAGGCCCCGGGGCUUUAUUGGACUGCAUCGCUUUAAUAGAGAAUUUUAUUUCUUCAAGGGAGAGUGGGGAGAGUUCUUGUACAUGGUCAGAAUCAAUGGAAGGGUUUUCAAGGUUGUCCAAAAACUGAUUCAUAAUAGCAGUUUCAGCCGGAAAUUCAGAUUUAUACAAAGAGGUAUAAAACGAUUUGAACGUGGCAUUAAUUUCUACUGGGUCUGUAACAAUUACAUUAAUAUGAUUAUUAAUUUUAGGUAUCAAACGUGAGGCAGAUUGACGUUUCAAUUGGUGAGCCAAUAGUCGAUUCGCUUUAUCCCCAUGUUCAUAGUAAGUGUCUUAAAUUGUCUGCAAUAACAAUCGCUCUACUUCCCUAGUGGAGAUAAGAUCAAAUUCUGUCUUAAGGUUAAGACGUUUCUUAAACAGUUCUGGGGAGGAAUUGGAUGCGCACUCUUGGUCAGUACACAAUUCAAAUCACCUACAAAAAUCAACAAAUGAGAAUUUAAAUGAGGUAUAUUACUAAGUAAUCUGUUGGAGAAUUCAACAUCAUCAAAGUUAGGUGCAUAGACAUUUACCAGCAGCACCUUUGUUUGCAUUAACUUAUCAACUUAUGGUUGAUAAGAUAUCUGCCAUUUUUAUCAGCAAUAACAUCAGUAGGUAGAAACUGAAUAUUUUUAUUGAUCAAAAUAGCAACAACUCUUGAUUUAGAGUUAAAGUUAGAAUGAAAGACAUGCCGUAUCCAAGAAGCCUGCAGCCUAUAAUGAUCUUUAGAUUUGAGAUGAGUUUCUUGCAAAAACACUAUGUCGGAAUUAAGCCGUUUCAAAGGGCUAAAAACUUUACCGCGUUUAGAUGGGCUACUGUCGGAACUUAGAGCCCGCCUCCAAGUGGACAUAUCGCAGGGUGAUUUGUACUUAUAGACUUGUAGCCAAAUAUCAAUUAUUUUAAUUAAACUUCACUGAUAGCACUAACAUUAAUACAAAUAAAACAAUGAGAAGACCCUUCAGACCUGGAUGAGAAUGAGCAAACUUCUUUAUUGCAGCCAAUCAGCCAACAAUUCCAUUGAGCUGAAGGAAAAAUUUCUAAGUUAAAAUUAACAAAUAAAAACCCAAAAGAGCAUUCCCCUGCAACCCAAAAAAGAACACCCCUUCCACAAGAAAAUCCCCUCAAUAUAUACUCUGGUGCCUCUACAGUAGGUGCCUCCUCUUUUAAUUUACAUACCUUGCAUACAAUUACCCAUUCUUUCUCAAAGUUGCCCUCAAAGCCCCGCCUAAUCAUUUACCUGACUUCUCAGAAUUCCCCUUAUUUUCCAGAAUUACCUCAUACGCCUCCUAACUGACUAAUGUCCUGUUUUUCUGAUUCCUUAUUUCCCAGACUCAAGGUCUGCCCUUGGAUUUUUCUGUAUAUAUCCUUGUUAUUCUGUCCUUGUUAAUUUCCUAGUAUUUCCAACCUCCUUCAUCGUUGUUAUUAAAAAAUGUGCUCGAGAGAGCUUUAUUUCCUUGUUUGUAUCACAUUUGUCGCUCAGUCUUCCAUGACAGACGUCUUGUGGAUUUAUCCUCCUUUCAGCUACAAUGACUCUGUUCUCCUGAACUUCCUGAGCAUCCUUAUCUGCUGUCCCAUAUUGUGAGGAAACCUCCCGCUCGAACUUCCUCCUCUCAAACCCCCUCUGGCUGACCUCGCGGACCAGAGAACUCAGACUGAUGGCUGUCCUCAUGCUGAACCUUGCUGCCCUAAGCUUGGAACUCCUGUGUCUCCUCCUUGUCCCUCAUCACCUCAUCUCGCCUACACCCGCCCUCUCUCUCCUGCUUUGGCUUCCUCUGACUCUGAACCUGGAUCUCCAGUCUACAUUCCCUCUUCUCCCUCUCUUAGGCCUGAUUCUCCAGAUUACACUCCUACUUCUCCUAGGCCUGAUAGUA